RNAcentral lists this ribosomal RNA (443 nucleotides) under uncultured bacterium. RNAcentral describes it as "partial 16S ribosomal RNA". It matches the Rfam family "Bacterial small subunit ribosomal RNA", at positions 338 to 795 of the family's 1533-position model. The record is from RNAcentral.
CCUACGGGUGGCAGCAGUGGGGAAUAUUGGGCAAUGGGCGCAAGCCUGACCCAGCAACGCCGCGUGAAGGAAGAAGGCUUUCGGGUUGUAAACUUCUUUUCUCAGGGACGAAGAAAGUGACGGUACCUGAGGACUAAGCCACGGCUAAUUACGUGCCAGCAGCCGCGGUAAUACGUAGGUGGCAAGCGUUAUACGGAUUUACUGGGUGUAAAGGGCGUGUAGGCGGGACUGCAAGUCAGAUGUGAAAAGCACGGGCUCAACCUGUGGCCUGCAUUUGAAACUGUAGUUCUUGAGUACUGGAGAGGCAGGCGGAAUUCCUGGUGUAGCGGUGAAAUGCGUAGAUAUAAGGAGGAACACCAGUGGCGAAGGCGGUCUGCUGGACAGCAACGGACGCUGAGGCGCGAAAGCGUGGGGAGCAAACAGGAUUAGAUACCCGAGUAGUC